UUGUCUUCGUUAUAUCUUAGCAUCCCAUCACCCGUUGGAUUGCUCGUACCUUUUAUGACAGCCCAGUGAAGGACUAUGAGAAAAUGAUGGCACUUAUCCAUAUUGAGGCCGAGAAGGCUGAAAUGAGACAACUACAACUUGAAGUCCGCCGACACAUGAGAGAAAAAGGAGAUGGACCCUGGUUUCAGAUUCAGACACUUGAUAAGAAUCUCAUCGACCACAGCCCCAAGUCAUCCCCUGAUAACUAGGAGUGGUCAUUCAUACCUGUCCAAAAUAUUCAGGCAUUAUACAAUGUAUAAUGUAUUGUUAUUAAUAAAAAAUAUAUUGUUUAUUUUUUCCCCUUUUCUUUGCCUCUGGCACCAAUAAACUAAUGAUGAAGUCA
Sinocyclocheilus grahami is the source of this 382-nucleotide long non-coding RNA. RefSeq lists it as uncharacterized. The record is from RefSeq and is a predicted model, not a curated record. NCBI's taxonomy places the organism in Eukaryota, Metazoa, Chordata, Actinopteri, Cypriniformes, Cyprinidae. The transcript is spliced from 2 exons.